RNAcentral lists this ribosomal RNA (2175 nucleotides) under human gut metagenome. RNAcentral describes it as "bacterial LSU rRNA". It matches the Rfam family "Bacterial large subunit ribosomal RNA", at positions 14 to 2254 of the family's 2925-position model. The record is from RNAcentral.
AGAGCGCACGGUGGAUGCCUAGGCACUAAUAGGCGAAGAAGGACGCGACUAACAGCGAAAUGCUACGGGGAGCAGUAAGUAGGCAAAGAUCCGUAGGUAUCCGAAUGGGGAAACCCACUAGUUAGAAGAGCUAGUAUCGAAUAAUGAAUACAUAGUUAUUCGAGGCGAACCCGGGGAACUGAAACAUCUAAGUACCCGGAGGAAAAGAGAACAAAAGUAAUUCCCUAAGUAGAGGCGAUUGAAAGGGGAGGAGCCCAGCACCAUGAAGAGUUAGAAAAUCUUUUUAUAGUAGAAUUGUAUUGGAAAAGCAAGACAAAGAAGGUGAAAUCCCUGUAUACGAAAUAAAGAGAUCUCGGUGUCGGAGUAGGGCGGAGCACGAGGAAUUCUGUCUGAAUAAGUGAGGACCAUCUCAUAAGGCUAAAUACUCAUUAGUGACCGAUAGUGAACCAGUACUGUGAAGGAAAGGUGAAAAGAACCCCUGGCGGGGAGUGAAAAGAACCUGAAACCGUGUGCUUACAAACAGUUAGAGCCCGUCAAAGGGUGAUAGCGUGCCUUUUGUAGAAUGAGCCGGCGAGUUACGUUAAUGUGCGAGGUUAAGUUUUAAGGGACGGAGCCGAAGCGAAAGCGAGUCUGAAGAGGGCGAAAUAGUAGAUUGACGUAUACCCGAAACCGGGUGAUCUAGCCAUGAGCAGGUUGAAGCUUGGGUAAAACCAGGUGGAGGACCGAACCAGGGUCUGUUGAAAAAGACUUGGAUGACUUGUGGCUAGGGGUGAAAUUCCAAUCGAACCCGGAGAUAGCUGGUUCUCCCCGAAAUAGCUUUAGGGCUAGCGUUAUGGAGAAGAGUUAUACGAAGGUAGAGCACUGAAUGGGUGAGGGCCUCAUCUCGAGGUACUGAUCUCAAUCAAACUCCGAAUGUCGUAUAAUAUACAUAGCAGUAAGACUAUGGGUGAUAAGGUUCAUAGUCAAAAGGGAAACAGCCCAGACCGCCAGUUAAGGUCCCAAAAUUAUGCUAAGUGGGAAAGGAGGUGGAGUCGCAUAGACAACUAGGAGGUUGGCUUAGAAGCAGCCAUCCUUUAAAGAGUGCGUAAUAGCUCACUAGUCGAGUGAUUCUGCGCCGAAAAUGUAUCGGGGCUAAGCAUAAUACCGAAGCUGCGGGAUUAGACAAAGAGUCUAAUCGGUAGGGGAGCGUACUAAACGCGAAGAAGGUUGACCGGAAGGGCAGCUGGAGAGUUUAGCAGUGAGAAUGCCGGUGUGAGUAGCGAUAAGAUGGGUGAGAAUCCCAUCCGUCGGAAGCCUAAGGGUUCCAGGGGUAAGGCUCGUCCGCCCUGGGUAAGUCGGGACCUAAGGUGAGGCCGAAAGGCGUAGCCGAUGGAUAUCAGGUUGAUAAUCCUGGACCACCGUAGAGCUGAAGGAGUGACGGAGGAGGGAAGUUAGGAUGGACUGGUGGAAUAGUCUAAUGAAGCACAAAGAGGGAUACGUAGGAAAAGCCGCGUAUUGAAACCUUGAAGUGUAAACCGCAAGGCCUAAUGGACCACACUUCCAAGAAAAGCUUCUAGGAGUACUUUAUGGUGCCCGUACCGUAAACGGACACACGUAGGCGAGGAGAGAAUCCAAAGACGCGCGAGAUAAUUCUUGUUAAGGAACUCUGCAAAAUGACCCUGUAACUUCGGGAUAAAGGGGACUCUAGAGAUAGAGGCGCAGAAAAUAGGCCCAAGCGACUGUUUAACAAAAACAUAGGUUUCUGCUAAAGCGAAAGCUGAUGUAUAGGAGCUGACGCCUGCCCAGUGCUGGAAGGUUAAGAGGAGAUGUAAGUCGCAAGGCAAAGCAUUGAAUUGAAGCCCCAGUAAACGGCGGCCGUAACUAUAACGGUCCUAAGGUAGCGAAAUUCCUUGUCAGGUAAGUUCUGACCCGCACGAAAGGCGUAACGAUUUGGGCGCUGUCUCAACAAGAAACUCGGUGAAAUCAUAGUACCUGUGAAGAUGCAGGUUACCCGCGAUCAGACGGAAAGACCCCAUGGAGCUUCACUGCAGCUUAAUAUUGAUAUUGGGUGUGUGAUGUACAGGAUAGGUGGGAGACGAAGAAGCGAGUACGCUAGUAUUCGUGGAGUCAACGUUGGGAUACCACCCUUCAUACAUUUGAGUUCUAACUAGUAUCCAUAAUCUGGGUAUAGAACAG